Long non-coding RNA from Helianthus annuus (common sunflower), 2604 nucleotides. RefSeq lists it as uncharacterized. The transcript is spliced from 9 exons. The record is from RefSeq and is a predicted model, not a curated record. Lineage: Eukaryota; Viridiplantae; Streptophyta; Magnoliopsida; Asterales; Asteraceae.
CUCUCACUAAACCACAAUCGUUUCAUCCGCCGCUCCACCUUUCUCUACAAACCCUAGAUCCUCCAUCGCUCCUCCACCUUUCAUCCAUGGAACCGGUCGUCGCCAUCACCGUCUUCUCCCCUUUCAUCCAUGGAACCGGUACCGUUUUUUACCCUAUCUUUUGAAGACGAAGACCGAUGAACAGGUGAAAGAGAUAACACUGCGACUUGGUUCAAGAACCUUCAAAUUCAGCCUUAGUGAAAUGUGAAUACAGUUGAAGAUGAAGACCGUGGGGUCUUCAUUCUUUUGUGAGCAUCAUGUUGGCUGUUUGCUGGAUGCACUCGCGAAUCGUGGUCUGUCGAAUACAUUGGCUACUCGGAUAUUGGUGAGAUUUUCAUGGUUUCUAGGGUUUUUAUGUCUAAAUAUGUGGAAGCUGGUGUUUUAACUUUUGAAUACAUUGGCUACUCGGAUAUUGGUUGAAGCAGGGGCUGGCGGUCAGAGUUUUGGAAUUCAUGUUGCAGAGUUUGCAAACUUUCCUAAAAGUGUUGUUUUUCUUGCUAGAGAAAAAGCUGUUGAGUUGGAGGGUUUCUCACAUCUUUUAGCUAUAUCAAAUUGGUCUGAACAAGUGGUAUUUUUCUAAUCAGCUAAUCAACCCAUUCCUAAUGGAAGCUUGCAACUGGGGAAUUAAAUCAUCUUUUCAUUCGAUAUUGUUUUUUACAUAAAUGGAAGCACUUAUAUUUGUAAGAGAAGAGGCCUCCUAUGAUGAUGUUGCAGCUCAAAUGAAGUUGAUUCAAACGCCAAGCCUGAAUCAGAUGACAGUUAGUUUAGAGUGAAUCUGUGAGAUAUGUGGCUAAAAAGCUAUAAUUCGAAUCGGCGUGUGUGAGUGUUCGGUGUUGUAUCUUCGACACAAGGUGGGGUGGGGCAUCAUGGGGUGUAUUUGAAUCAGCAUGUGUGAGUGCUCGGUGUUAUAUUGUGACCGAAGACAGGGUAAGGGCAUCAUGGGGUGUCUUAUGGAAGGAAGCACGGUGUUUGCCUUUGAAGAAUAUUUUAUUAAAUAUGCCACACCGGAAGAGGCUAAUAAGGUGUACACGCCUUAAAGCAGGCCGAGGUUCAGGCACAAGCAUAUGCCCAAGCUGGUCUCUCUUCAACAACACCAUCAGUUCUCACUAUGGGCUCAAAGGUUGUCUAAGUAGGCGAUUUUCAGCAUAUCAAAUGAUGCAGCUAGGCUUCAAUCAGCUGGUAGAUCAGCAUCAAAUGAUGCAGCUGGGCUUCAAUCAGCUACAGCAUGGGAAGCCGUUGAGCCGAGCCGAGAGACACGAGCUUGUUAAACGACAUGUUUCGAGUAACCGGCAGGUUAAUCUUGGUAAGAUAUAACUAUUAACUGUUUAAGUGAAGCAGUUAUGGUUAAUGUUAGUUGAAAUGACAGGAGAAACCUUGUGGUAAGAUUAUUCUUAGGACUGGUGGUGUGCUGUAUCUUUUUCGGGAUAGACAUUAUGAUCCGCACAACAGGCCGAAAUACCCUGUGAUGCUGUGGAAGCCUGCGUCUUUCUUGGUCAAAAGACCUAAUAUGGUGUGCCUUAGUAUUAAAAGACCUAGGUGAUUAGCUUGGUUGAACAAGUUAAAAUGGUUUGGUUUUGAGUGGUUUUUUUUUUUUCUUGAAGUCGUUCGUAUUAAAAUUUUAAAAUGAUGAAGGCAGUUUGUUAAUAUAUUACAUAUAAGUAAAUGUAUAGUUAAACAACUGGUUUCAAGCUUUAUACCGUCAAAACUGAACUUGGACCAAACCAUUAAAUGAUCAAAACUGACUGAAGUAGAGGUGAACAAUACCGGGUUUUUUAGGCGUUCAGGUAUGAACCCGGGUACAGGUAAGACCAGGUAUGUUUUUUUUCGUGUAUUGGCAAUAACUGGGUUGUGUUCGGGAGACGACUAAUAAACUAACGGGUAAACAAGUAUCCUAAAAUUGCAGCUGGCUAGAUACUUAUUAGUGUGAAGUUUUUUAAUAAUAUAAACUUGCAAGCUACAAGUGGAACUUUAAUGGGUAUACUAUUUUCUUUUUAAUUUUAAGUCUUGCCUGAUCAGUUUUGUUAAACACUAAUUUUCAAUAUUGCAGCUGAUCUUUCAACAGCCUGGGAUGCAAAUUUGUUCACCAGAUCUUGGUACAAACAUCACUAUUUAGCCUUUCUCAGCAUUAUUUGGUACAGCCUUCUGUUUUCUGUUCGCCUUUAAACCCACUUUGAGGAUUCAAAUCGGAGUUGUUUUAACAGCUGUAAUACAUGGUCAAGCAUUGGAACUCUACAACUUUUCCCAUGCUUUUUGAUAUUGGAACCUGACAUCUCCUACAACACAAUACAACACAAGUGAUGAGUCAAAAAAUGGCUAUUUCAAAAAGUUGGAGAAUGCUAAAGAGAGGUUGCAUCUUUUCAAGGCAUACAAGAUACAGGUUAUUGGCUGGCUGCCUCCAAUUAAAAGUUAUAAAAAAAACAUUAUCAUGAGAGAUCCUCAGAAACAAAUCAACAAAUCGUUGUAAUUAUUGUUACAAAUUUAUAACGUUUAUUUUUUAUCGAGUAAUGUUUAUCGUUGUAAUUUUGUUAACAAAUUUAUGAUGUUCAGCAUAUUGCACUUCGUAUU